ACCUAGUAUGGUGGUUAUGACACUGGACUUGUAAUCGAGUGAGAUCGGGUUCGAAUCCCGAUAUAGAUG
Trichonephila clavata is the source of this 69-nucleotide non-coding RNA. The record is from the annotation of a GenBank genome assembly. NCBI's taxonomy places the organism in Eukaryota, Metazoa, Arthropoda, Arachnida, Araneae, Nephilidae.